GGAAGUGAGGGAGGAAGUGAUGUAUUCCUUCUCAUCCUUUCCUCAUUCUCCUCUUAGCAAUGUGAGCCACGGAGGGAGGACAUUCCUCACUAUAAGCUCCCAACUUCAGACUCAUGUCAGAAACUACAUUGCUGCAUUUCUACCCAAUAAUAUUUUUGACUGCAUUUUCUAGUGUUGCUCAUAGGACAAUGCAUGAUUGAUAAUCCUGCAUUGCGGGGGGGGGGGGGGGUUGGACUAGAUGACCCCCUCCCAGCUGUACAAUUUCUAUGAGACCUUAAAUCUGCAAGUAAAUCAUUUUUAAACAUACUUCAGUGUGUGGUCUAUUCAUGCAGAAGGGGUAGAAGGAACCUGACACAGGAUAAAGAAAGGCUGACUAGCCUAUUCCUAUGCCUCACGAAACUGCCUGAUGAUGAGAAUUAAAUUCUGCUGGGGUGCAGAGAGUCUGCUAAGCUCCAUGCUUUGAAUACAGGCUUGCAGCCAUAUUCCUUUGCUCAUUGUUCCACACACAUGGGUCUACAGAGGAGGAACUAUAAUUAAUAGAUCUUCUUUCCAACUCCCAUCAGUUGGCCUAUGAGUUACAAGAUCAGACGGGCCUUUGGUCUGAACUCACAGAACCCUUCCAAAGUUUGUGUGUGGUUUUUAAAUUCCUUCAUUUUGUUUUAGCAACCCGCCUGCUGUCCUUGGCAAACUGAAGUUCAAGCUCUUUCAAACGUUACCUCUUCCUUUUCGUGCCAGUUGGACGUGGGGGCAAUGACUCGAGGUGAUGGAACAGGAAGCUCACCCAGCGCCCUGUGUUAAUGAAUUACAGAAUCCGAGGAUGGAAGCAAUAAUUUAUUCCCCUCAGAGCACCCCCUGCUCAGAUAGCGAGCCCCUGCCUUCACCCUAGCAAGAGGAUAUUCAGGACCCUCCGCCGAGCCACUAUGAAGUUAAUUGUCAUCACACUGGUCUUGUACCUCUUCACAGGCCAUCCGACUUUUGCCCAAACAGAUAAACGGGUCUCCAAGUUGGAGCAGUUAAAGCACGACUUCACUAAACUCCUGGGAAAGGUCAGCGAGAAAGCGUGGGAUAAAUUGAACUUUGUCAGAAGAUCGAGGCUCGGACAAGAACUGAGAAUCUUGUUUCGUGAUGAUGUUGCAAAACUGCGCAAAUACAUCCAGGACUUGCAGGCUGAGCUGCCACCCGAAAUCACACAGGCCUACCACGCGGCAGUUCAGUUGUCUGGGCACGCCCUGGUGGGCGCCAGCUGUAACCUAGCCGUAUUACGGUCUGCCACAGAAGAGCUCUACGAGGGGCUGGAAUCUCUAGUGACUUUCUACGCCAGCCCCGUCGCGGAGAAGUUGAGACCACACACGCAGGUCCUUAGAAAUAUGGUCGUCCCCAAGGUGCAGGAGCUGGAGGAGAAGCUGAAGCAGCAAGUGGAAGAAAAGGGGCCUGAGCUGAUCCCUUACGCGCGGAAGCUUCACCGCCAGUUGCACGAAUACCAGAGGUCCCUGGAGCCUUAUGCCAACCAGGCCCAGGAGAAGAUCAAGCUGGGCAUAGAGACAUUCAGCCAGACCAUGAAGCGCUACGUCACCCCACUUAUUGAGGCAAUCAAAAAACGCGUCACAGACUCUUAAGAGGUGGAGCUGACAUACCCCCAGUGCUUUCCCCAGAUCUCUGAAGCUUCUCAUAAGCAAUGGAGGGUGGAACCUUGGCCAAACUCUUUGAAACAGAAAGGGUCAAAAAAAGGGAAGCGACUGGAUUGAGUGUUCUCAGCAAUUUGGGGUGGGGAGCAGAGGCUGUUGGUGAUAUCUUCCCUCCCCCAAACCGUGUAAUAAAGGAGCUGUCCCUAAUGAUGCUGGUUUAGGGCUGUGUUUAUGUCUUAAUGUUUUCUGAAAAUAAUCUUAUUGCAUUUGUAUAUAAUAAUAUAAAUGGAGAAAAUGUUGUUACUUGUUAUAAUAUAAAAUCAUAUUAUAAUAUAAUCAGGCUCAGCGAUGCAUGUAAAGUUCAAUAAAAUGGUCUUAAUCCAGACUACUUAGCCCUAAGUAUGUCUUGGUGGGCUAUGGCUAUUUUGUUCUUAAGAGGCAAAGGUAAUGAAGAUGCACUGUGUAUCUUGAAAUUUGUCCAAUCCAGACCCUUUCCUCAGGAUUCUCAAGUUUAUGAAUUAACUUUUCCUUUAGUGUUGUGUUCCAGACCUCUUGAAAAAGGUAAGUUGAAGACUAUUUCCAAUUUUUGGCAAUCGCAAAGGCAUGCUACAACAAGAAGGAAAGCCACAGGCUAUUUGUGUGAUACAUUUCUUGGUUGUUCAUCACAGAUUAAGUGAGAAGAUGAAUAGUGGAUCAAGGAUUAAAGCCUGGGAAGCGAUUUUACAAAUCUCUUGAAAAACUGACAUCCCACCCCCAACAAUG
Molecule: long non-coding RNA, 2387 nt
Organism: Podarcis muralis (Common wall lizard)
Lineage: Eukaryota; Metazoa; Chordata; Lepidosauria; Squamata; Lacertidae
Source: Ensembl